ACUCCUUGGGGGUGACAUGGGGGUAGCCGCAGUCCACCCUGUCCUUGGCUGGCACGGCACACUGGUUUGCAGCAGGCCCACGUACUCCUCAGCAGAGCUGGAGGACAGCAAGGCCAGGACCAGCCCCAGCAUGCAGAGCGCUCUGGCAGCCAUGACCACCGUGGGCUCCGGGACGCAGCUCAGGACUCGCUUCAUGGUCCAGGAGGCCUCAUUUAUGCACCGUUGUUUGCACAGCUGCUCUGGAUUGUUUGCUUGGGGAAGGCUCUCCCUCCUGGCUGUGGCUGCUCCUGUUCUCUCCUGCAUGCCUUUGUCAAGCUCCCAGACAGUUUUUCUCUCCCAAAGGGGAGAGGUCAGUUCAGCCCCCACUGUUUUGGCAGCAAGCGGUAAGGGCGGAUUCCAGUUCUGGUUCCGGGUCCUCUACUGGGGAGCG
Molecule: long non-coding RNA, 430 nt
Filed under: Homo sapiens (human)
Lineage: Eukaryota; Metazoa; Chordata; Mammalia; Primates; Hominidae
Description: long non-coding RNA NONHSAT082323.2
Source: RNAcentral